AGAGUUUGAUCCUGGCUCAGGACGAACGCUGGCGGCGUGCUUAACACAUGCAAGUCGAACGGAAAGGCCCUUCGGGGUACUCGAGUGGCGAACGGGUGAGUAACACGUGGGUGAUCUGCCCUGCACUUUGGGAUAAGCCUGGGAAACUGGGUCUAAUACCGAAUAGGACCGCGCGCUUCAUGGUGUGUGGUGGAAAGCUUUUGCGGUGUGGGAUGGGCCCGCGGCCUAUCAGCUUGUUGGUGGGGUAAUGGCCUACCAAGGCGACGACGGGUAGCCGGCCUGAGAGGGUGACCGGCCACACUGGGACUGAGAUACGGCCCAGACUCCUACGGGAGGCAGCAGUGGGGAAUAUUGCACAAUGGGCGCAAGCCUGAUGCAGCGACGCCGCGUGAGGGAUGACGGCCUUCGGGUUGUAAACCUCUUUCACCAGGGACGAAGCGCAAGAGACGGUACCUGGAGAAGAAGCACCGGCCAACUACGUGCCAGCAGCCGCGGUAAUACGUAGGGUGCGAGCGUUGUCCGGAAUUACUGGGCGUAAAGAGCUCGUAGGUGGUUUGUCGCGUUGUUCGUGAAAACUCACAGCUUAACUGUGGGCGUGCGGGCGAUACGGGCAGACUAGAGUACUGCAGGGGAGACUGGAAUUCCUGGUGUAGCGGUGGAAUGCGCAGAUAUCAGGAGGAACACCGGUGGCGAAGGCGGGUCUCUGGGCAGUAACUGACGCUGAGGAGCGAAAGCGUGGGGAGCGAACAGGAUUAGAUACCCUGGUAGUCCAA
RNAcentral lists this ribosomal RNA (773 nucleotides) under uncultured bacterium. RNAcentral's name for it is "bacterial SSU rRNA". It matches the Rfam family "Bacterial small subunit ribosomal RNA", at positions 8 to 798 of the family's 1533-position model. The record is from RNAcentral.